This 497-nucleotide ribosomal RNA is filed under the name uncultured bacterium. RNAcentral's name for it is "partial 16S ribosomal RNA". It matches the Rfam family "Bacterial small subunit ribosomal RNA", at positions 28 to 507 of the family's 1533-position model. The record is from RNAcentral.
GAUGAACGCUGGCGGCGUGCCUAAUACAUGCAAGUCGAGCGAACGGACGAUAAGCUUGCUUGGCGGAUGUUAGCCGAGGACGGGUGAGUAACACGUGUAUAACCUACCUAUAUUAGUGGGAUAACUUCGGGAAACCGGAUCUAACACGGUAUGAUAUUUUGAACCGUAUGGUGGGAAAGUGAGAUACGGUCGUUGUGGCUCUUAUAGAUGGAUCCGCGCUGUAUUAGAUAGUUGGGAAGGUAAAGGCUUAUCAAGGGAACGAUGCAUAGGCGAACUGAGGGGGUGAUAGGCCACAUUGGAAGUGGACCACCGUCCAGGCGACUACGGGAGGCAGCAGUAGGGAAUGUUCGGCAAUGGGCGAAAGCCUUACGGAGCAACGCCGAGUGAGUGAUGAAGGUCUUCGGUUCGUAAAACUCUGUUAUUAGGUAAGAACAUAUGUGUAAGUAACUGAGCACAUCUUGACGGUACCUAAUCAGAAAGCCACGGCUAACUACGUG